RNAcentral lists this ribosomal RNA (318 nucleotides) under Vibrio parahaemolyticus. RNAcentral describes it as "partial 23S ribosomal RNA". It matches the Rfam family "Bacterial large subunit ribosomal RNA", at positions 2344 to 2661 of the family's 2925-position model. The record is from RNAcentral. Lineage: Bacteria; Pseudomonadati; Pseudomonadota; Gammaproteobacteria; Vibrionales; Vibrionaceae.
GGUUAGUGCAAUGGCAUAAGCCCGCUUGACUGCGAGAAUGACAAUUCGAGCAGGUGCGAAAGCAGGUCAUAGUGAUCCGGUGGUUCUGAAUGGAAGGGCCAUCGCUCAACGGAUAAAAGGUACUCCGGGGAUAACAGGCUGAUACCGCCCAAGAGUUCAUAUCGACGGCGGUGUUUGGCACCUCGAUGUCGGCUCAUCACAUCCUGGGGCUGAAGUCGGUCCCAAGGGUAUGGCUGUUCGCCAUUUAAAGUGGUACGCGAGCUGGGUUUAGAACGUCGUGAGACAGUUCGGUCCCUAUCUGCCGUGGGCGUUGGAAGA